Molecule: RNA transcript, 4903 nt
Organism: Hypanus sabinus (Atlantic stingray)
Lineage: Eukaryota; Metazoa; Chordata; Chondrichthyes; Myliobatiformes; Dasyatidae
Gene name: probable G-protein coupled receptor 146
Exons: 4
Source: RefSeq, a predicted model, not a curated record
CUUGUUUCAUUUGUGUGACCAGAUACUAUCUGGGGCAGUCUCCUUCCUCUGAAUAGUUGGUGAAGUUUUAUUUUGUUUUUCUCUCUGGAGCCCUCACUCCCCCUUGUUGGCAUCGUUCAGUGGCCAGGUCCCGGGUGAAAAUGAGCGCUGCACCUUCUGUCCGGGAGACAGCAUGUAAACCACAUUAAACUUCGCUGUCAAAAUACACUCGUUCUGGACUGUUCUGAGUACAAGGAACGAUGCAACACAUCGGACCAGUGAUCCACACGCGGGGAAAGGACGGUUUCUUGACUAGCGCUUAAUACUCAAACCCUGUUUGGAAUCCAACUUCGCACAAAACAACGACCUGAAUUUCUUCUGAUCCGAAAAUCGAACUGAGGAGAAAACAAGCCACCUGAAGUCAGAGAGUUCAAUAUUCGAAUCCGGAAGACAGUGUUAUGUCAAGAUCAAGAUGAAGUUCAACAUGCAGGUCCAAUUACCCUCAAGGUACAAAGAAUUUGCAUAGGAGGAGCUAGGAAUGAAUAACCAAGAUGAAGCUGAAGAUCUGAGAUUGACUGUUGGGACACCACAGAUUGUUUCCUGCAUGUGAAGAGAAGCAGGUAUAAAGAAAAACAGUAAACUAUUGGUUGGGGUAUUGACUGAAAAGAGAGCUAUUUGAAUUCUUCUGGUUUUCUUGAACUAAUCACAGAAGUGAGACCUACUAGAAGUCGACAGAUCUCCAGAGUACAGAAUAUUCCAUUGAAUAAUGUGUUUUUGAAGUGAAUUUGCAGAUUCAGAUUUAUUUAUCGCAUGUACAUGGAAAGGUACAGUGAAUGCAUCAUUUGCAUUAACAACCAGGACGCAUGACGAUGUGCUGGAACCAACUUGCAAGCGUUGCGACACUAUCUGGCACCAACAUAACUAGCUUGGCAGAACAACAUGUUCCCAUGUCCACAUCACUGGAUUUUGAGUGCAGAGUAGAGGCCUGGACUCUUGAUGCCUCUCGUCACCCUCCCACGUUGCUGGACUUCAAAUGCAGAGCGCAGAGCAAAAGCCUAACCUCCAACAAUUCCACAUCCCUGUCCCUAAAGCCUAGCCUGACCCCUAACUCCCCUCUCUGUCCCCAAAAUUAUCCAUUUUAACUUAAAAAAAACUAAUUCUAAGCUACAAAUUUGAUGGGGGACCACAGCUUUGUGUCAUCUUGCUUGGAAGUGAACAGAUUAAGUAGAAAACAUUUAGAUUUUAUGAUGCAAUAUCUUUGCCGGAAAUUCAAUUGCAUAAUGCAGUGCUUUGUUUUUGAGUAAUGCAAUUGAAAAUAUAUGUUUUUCCCAUUCGUGGAUUGUUAACGUCACUUAGAAAAAUCGAGCAAACAUUUCCCAUUUUGAGUCACCCCUAAAGCACUGAUGCAACUUCCAGAUCUGGGAGACAGUGCAUGAAGUUAUUCCUUGAGCACUGCUUUUUUUAUACUAUUGCAGAGGAACUUGUCAGCAUGCUGGGAAGUAUAAAGUUGAAAAAUUCAAAGUAGUUUUAUUUUCAAAGUAUGUAGACAGUACAUUAUACAGCCUUGAGACUUGUCUCCUAACGGGCAGGCACAAAACAAAGAAACAAUAUAAAAAAAGAGGACCGUCAAACAUGUGCGGAGAAAAAAAAACACAUCAUGCCCAGUAAAAAAAAACAUUAAAAAAUUUUUAAGACCCAUAAAAUAAAGAAGAUCGUCAUACACCCAAUGUGCAGAAAAGAAGAACAUAUAAUGCAAACAAUAACCACAAACAAGUAGCAUUCUGAACUGAAGUCCGCAAAGAGAGUCCCAUAGUUCACCAUGGUUCAGCGUAGAGCCGAGCUGUGUAGCAGCAAGCAGAACUGGCUCAUCCCUUGACUCGGGCCCUGACACCCUGACCUCUCAAUCUACCCCGCUGCCUAAAUUGGUGUCCACUGCCGGGACAAGUCUUAAUCCAUUUGCACUAACCUGGGAAGUCAGCAAGGUACAGCAGGUAAAUCUAUAGACCAUACCACCAACUACCACCACUCAGGGCCCAGCACUGCACUGACCACCCAGAUCUCCCAAUGUGUGAGCAAAAAACACAAAAAGAGUAAAGAAAUGACAAAACAAUUUAAAAGACAUAGAUUCCAUCUUUGUGGAGGAUAUAAGUAACUUCCCAGAAAUGUUCGGAUAUCAAGAAUCUAAUGGCAAAAAAAGAAUUUGAGGAAAUUAAUAUUAGAAACAAAAGUAGUGCUGUGGAAAUAAUGAUCCUGAAAGCCAAUAAUCUGCUAAAACAGAAGUAGCCACGAAAUUUACACUGCUUUGGUUAUCACCUUCCAAAAUACAAUGUGUUAAUAAAUAGUUCCUGCAGAUUGGUGGAUGGUAAAUUUAACACCACUAUUUCAAAACAGCUGCAUAGGAGAGAAAACACUGAGGUACAGACCUAUUAUCUCAAUAUCAGAAGUGCACAAGAAGCUGGAGUCUAUCCCAAUAUCAGAAGUAUAGAAAAAGCUGGGUAGUAGAUAGUGAUUGCCAUAGUACCACAAGCAUCAGUGCUUGGGUUCUGCUCUUUAAUAGGGUACAUCAAUGAUUUGAACCAAAUGCACCAUUUAUAAGUUUACCAAUAACUCAAAACUAGAUGGAAUUAUGAGUCAUGAGGCUUCAAAAUUUAGACACAGGAAGUACUGCAGAUGCUGGAAAUCUAGAGCAAUACAUACAAUGUGAUGGAGGAGCUCAACACAGGCAGCAUCAAUGGAUGAGAAUAAACAGUCAAUGUUUUGAGCCGAGACCCUUCAUUCUCGCCCCAAAACGUUAAGCGCUUCAAAGUUUAAGUUAGCUCCAUGAGUGAGCAAGUGCAUGGCACAUGCUGAAUAACAUGGAUAAGUUAUUAUCCACUUUAGAAGGGGAAAAAAAACGGCAAACUAUUACUCAAAUGAGAAAUGUUGAAGUUCUCUGGUAAUGUUGUAACUACAGCCAUUGAAUGCAGGCAAGUAAGAAGGCAAAUGGCAUGUAGACCUUCAUUCCAUUGAGUAAAGGAACACGAAUGUUCUGCUAAAAUUAUGCAGGGCUUUGUUCAGGGUGUGUAUGUAAUAUGACGUGCGUCUUUGGUCUCCAAAGAAAAGAUAUACUUGCCAUGAAGGGAGUUCAGUGCAGGUUCAUCAGACUGCUUCCUGGAGUAACAGGAUUGCUGGUCACAGUGAGAUUAGUUUAACUAGGCCUGGAGAUACACCCAUGAAUGUAAUGUAUGGGAUGUAUGGUCUUCUACAGAGGGUAGAAGAUUUGUAAUAAAGAAGAGAAGAAUCCUCUUCACUCAGACAAUAGUGAACCUCUGGAAUUCUCUGCCAUUGAAAACAGUGGAGACCAAGUUACUGGACAUAUAAGACAGACAAGACUGCUUUACAUUAUGAAAUAAUAGCAAAAAGCUGGCUUCUGGAAACAGGACUGAAAAUGGAAGUUUCAUUUUAAAUGCCAGAGGCUGAGUAAAAGAGGUUAACCCAUGUACAGGAAAGGCAGAAGUUCAGGAUACUGAAACAGCUGUUUUUGGACAGGGCGACCCAUUGGAAUACUAAUAAAAAAAUUGACCCAACAAAGCUGUUCUCAGAGAUGCUGAGAUUCAGAGAAAUUUAUUCCUUCUGAUAAAUUUCUUCUCAGAGAAUAACGCAAAUCAAUGUGAACUAAAGGAAAUGACUCCAUUGCCUAUUUCCAAGAAACUGCAUGAGAUAUUUGGUUAAAAGUAGAUUCUGGCUCUGUACAGGAAAACACCAUGGCAGGCAUAGUUCAGUCCCACAAGAACUGGUGAACUUUUCUUCCCUCUGACAAGUUAAUAGGAAAAGUAUUUGCAUUGACAAGGUAAAUGAAGGGUUCCAGUGUAUCAGCUUUAAUUUAAUACACAACACUCUCAUCCCAUCUCAGAAAAUUCAGAUCAGAAACUCUACUACAAUUACUUCAGUACUGACAAAGUGCUGCGUGGGUUAAGAGGGCAUUUUAUGGAUGGACUAUUAAAGUGAGUCCAGCCUAACAUUUUGGCAGAAAACUGUAUUGGCUAUUCAACUACUUUGAAGAAUAAGUUCUUCCUAUACCUAGACCAUUAUCUUUCAACAACUAUGAAUAAAACAAAUUUGUCGAUAUUACAAGGUUAAUUAUGAAAAAUUAAAGUGUACAAAUACACAGAAAUGGAGGGAGCUUGGAUGGAAAAACUUGAUAAGAUAUUUUAUUACACCCUCUCAGAAAUCCCAUUAUGAUUGUAACCCUGUUUGCUGGAGAAAUUGUGGAAAUCAAAAUGCAAAUCAUUAUCAUAUUUUUUGGGAGUGCACUGUUAUCAAAAACUAUUGGAGGGGGAUACACAAUGCCCUACAAGACAUCUUUAAAUGUGAAAUACCUUUGGAGAGUAAGACCAUAUAUUUUGGAUAUAUACCUCAAGAAUGGUUGAAAAGAGAUAAAUAUUUAAUGAAUAUACUGUUGGUGGCUGGUAAAAAGACUCUUACUAGGAAAUGGUUAUCACAGGAGAACCCAACUUUAAGUACAUGGAUAGAAAUUACAAUGGACAUUUACAAAAUGGAGAAAAUAACAGCAUGUGUUAAUCAUAAGCUGGAACAAUUUGAUUCAUACUGGGAAAAAUGGUUUAACUACAUAAUGCCUCAUAGGCCUGAUCUUAUUCUCACAAAUCAAUUAAUCUGUCGUAAAAAAAAAAGAUCACUCCCUACUUGUACAUAGUUCUUUCCUUUUGCUUGCUUUUUCUUUCCGCUCUUUUCUAUAAGUGUAUACCCCGAUAAAUACUUUGUGGAGAUUUUGUGAUAUAUAUGAUUAUAUGAUGUAUAUGUACAAUGUCUGAAAUACAUCUUAUGGAAAUGUUUGAUGAACUUCAAUAAAAAAAUAAAUUACAAAAAAGAAGAUUGAUAGCGAAAUGCUGGGGCCCUCAACACCAAUCACUGUAUGCAUAUAAAA